Molecule: ribosomal RNA, 1863 nt
Filed under: uncultured marine eukaryote
Lineage: Eukaryota
Description: SSU rRNA
Rfam family: Eukaryotic small subunit ribosomal RNA
Source: RNAcentral
UUCUGCAGGUUCACCUACAAACUGGCAGGAUCAACCAGGUUAACCUGGUUGAUCCUGCCAGUAGUCAUAUGCUUGUCUCAAAGAUUAAGCCAUGCAUGUCUAAGUAUAAAGGUUUAUACAAUGAAACUGCGAACGGCUCAUUCAAACAGUUAUAGUUGAUUUGUGCUUUGAAUUUAUAUUCGUAAAUGGAUAACCGUAGUAAUUCUAGAGCUAAUACAUGCGUUAUGUAGGGACUUUAUGGAACCUCAGUAUUGAUCGUGCUUUGAAACCAGGCCUCCGGGUCUUGUGGUGAUUCAUGAUAACUGAUCGAAAUCGCUGGGUUGUACCCGCGAUAUCACAUUCAAGUUUCUGCCCCAUCAGCUUGAUGGUAGUGUAUUGGACAACCAUGGCAUCCACGGGUAACGGGGGAUUUGGGUUCGAUUCCGGAGAGGGAGCCUGGUAAACGGCUACCACUUCUACGGAGGGCAGCAGGCGCGUAAAUUAUCCAAUCCUGACUUAGGGAGGUAGUGACAAGAAAUAAUGAACUGGGAUUUAUCCCGGGGUUACAAUGGGCUUGAUUUGCAAAUUUUAUUUUAGCGAGGAACAAUUGGAGGGCAAGUCUGGUGCCAGCAGCCGCGGUAAUUCCAGCUCCAAUAGUGUAUAUUAAUUUUGCUGCAGUUAUUCAAAGCUCGUAGUUGGACUUCUGGAGGUGGAGACAGGCGGGUGGCUACGGCUGCUGCCGGUCGCUUCCUUCAUCCUUCUGUUAACGUUGUUCGGGAUUGAGUUUUCGACUUCGGGCUCAGACGUUUUUACCUUACUUCAUAUCUCUUUCGAGCAAAUUAUAGUGUUUCAGGCAGGCGUGCGCCGGAAUACAUUAGCAUGGAAUAAUCGAUUGGACCAUGUUUUCCCUUUGUAUUGGUUCGCGAAGGGCGUGGUAAUGAUUAAUAGGAAUAGUUAGAAAGGGGGCCAAAGUAUUUAGCAUCUAGAGGUGAAAUUCUUUGAAAUGAAAUUUCGUAAAGACUAACGUAUGCGAAAGCAUUUGCCAUAUAUAUUUCUCCUUGUUAAUCAAGAGCGAAAGUUAGGGGAUCAAAGACGAUCAGAUACCGUCCUAGUCUUAACCAUAAACUUUGCCGACUAGGGAUCGGGGGACGUGCACAUUCCGCCUCCGGCACCUUACGAGAAAUCAAAGUCUUUGGGUUCUGGGGGUAGUAUGGUCGCAAGGCUGAAACUUAAAGGAAUUGACGGAAGGGCACCACCAGGAGUGGAGCUUGCGGCUCAAUUUGACUCAACACGGGAAAACUUACCAGGUCCAGACAUAGGAAGGAUUGACAGAUUGAUAGCUCUUUCUUGAUUCUAUGGGUGGUGGUGCAUGGCCGUUCUUAGUUGGUGGUGUGAACUGUCUGGUUAAUUCCGUUAACGAACGAGACCUCGGCCUGCUAAAUAGGUGACUGUCUUAUUUCUGACAUUUUUACCUUCUUAGAGGGACUCUGUGUGCAACCACAAGGAAGUUUCGAGGCAAUAACAGGUCUGUGAUGCCCUUAGAUGUCCUGGGCCGCACGCGUGCUACACUGAUACGUACAACAAGGGAUUUACUUGCUGCUUCGAAAACAAAUUCAGGCUAAUCUACAAUACGUAUCGUGCUGCGGAUAGAUCCUUGAAUUUAAGGAUCUUGAAGGAGGAAUUCCUAGUAAGCGCAGGUCAUUAGCCUGCGUUGAUUACGUCCCUGCCCUUUGUACACACCGCCCGUCGCUCCUACCGAUUUCGAGUGGUCCGGUGAACAAUUUUGGACUGUCGAGCAAUCGCGAAAUUAAAGUAAACCCUUAUCACUUAGAGGAAGGAGAAGUCGUAACAAGGUUUCCGUAGGUGAACCUGCAGAAGGAUCAA